CCUACGGGAGGCAGCAGUGGGGAAUCUUAGACAAUGGGGGCAACCCUGAUCUAGCCAUGCCGCGUGAGUGAUGAAGGCCCUAGGGUUGUAAAGCUCUUUCACCGAUGAAGAUAAUGACGGUAGUCGGAGAAGAAGCCCCGGCUAACUUCGUGCCAGCAGCCGCGGUAAU
Molecule: ribosomal RNA, 169 nt
Filed under: uncultured bacterium
Lineage: Bacteria
Description: partial 16S ribosomal RNA
Rfam family: Bacterial small subunit ribosomal RNA
Source: RNAcentral